RNAcentral lists this ribosomal RNA (171 nucleotides) under Mycolicibacterium fortuitum. RNAcentral's name for it is "partial 16S ribosomal RNA". It matches the Rfam family "Bacterial small subunit ribosomal RNA", at positions 60 to 235 of the family's 1533-position model. The record is from RNAcentral. Lineage: Bacteria; Bacillati; Actinomycetota; Actinomycetes; Mycobacteriales; Mycobacteriaceae.
AGUCGAACGGAAAGGCCCUUCGGGGUACUCGAGUGGCGAACGGGUGAGUAACACGUGGGUGAUCUGCCCUGCACUUUGGGAUAAGCCUGGGAAACUGGGUCUAAUACCGAAUAUGACCACGCGCUUCAUGGUGUGUGGUGGAAAGCUUUUGCGGUGUGGGAUGGGCCCNNG